This 398-nucleotide ribosomal RNA is filed under the name uncultured Glomeromycotina. RNAcentral's name for it is "SSU rRNA". It matches the Rfam family "Eukaryotic small subunit ribosomal RNA", at positions 677 to 1076 of the family's 1831-position model. Lineage: Eukaryota; Fungi; Glomeromycota. The record is from RNAcentral.
GUACUGGCUUUACUGAUUCCUCCUUCUUGACGAACCGUGAUGUCAUUAAUUUGGUGUUGCGGGAAAUCAGGACUGUUACUUUGAAAAAAUUAGAGUGUUUAAAGCAGGCUAACGCUUGAAUACAUUAGCAUGGAAUAAUGAAAUAGGACGUUAAUCCUAUUUUGUUGGUUUCUAGGAUCGACGUAAUGAUUAAUAGGGAUAGUUGGGGGCAUUAAUAUUCAAUUGUCAGAAGUGAAAUUCUUGGAUUUAUUGAAGACUAACUACUGCGAAAGCAUUUGCCAAGGAUGUUUUCAUUAAUCAAGAACGAAAGUUAGGGGAUCGAAAACGAUCAGAUACCGUCGUAGUCUUAACCAUAAACUAUGCCAACAAGGGAUCGAGAUGAUGUUAUUUUUAAGGAC